CACCCUCUCCACGCACGGUCUCUGCGCAAAGAAUACGCCUCGUCACCCUCUUAACACGCGACUCGCUCCUCCUCCUCACUCCUCCUCGCGUCGUCGUCCCAUUCCGUCGCCGCCGCCGCCGCCGCCGCCGUGCACUCCACCGCCUCCGCCGCGCACUGAACCGAGGCGAGGUCUUCCCCAACCACCGCCGGAGCCGUGGUCUUCCCCAUCUGCCGCGACUGGCCGCAGCAGGAGCCGACGUCGUCCCCAUCCGCCGCCGCCGCCGCCGCAAUCCACCGCUACCCUCGAGGUCGUCGCUUUCUUUCACCGCCACGCACUGAACCGGAGGCGAGGUCUUCCCCAGACCCCCACGGAGCCGAGGUAUUCCCCAUCUGCCGCCGCCGCCGUGCACUCCACCGCGAUUUCUCCGCCCAUCCGCUGCUCCAUCGCGAUUUCUCCGCCGCUGCAACCUCUGCCCCGCCGAUCGCACCCCAUCGCGUCGCCGGUUUCUCACGCCUGUUGCCGAGUCCAAGUUGAUCCGAUUGGUUCCUCCGUCGAGGUCGCCCCUGCCAGAGAGGCCAAGCCGAUCCAGCAUCUGCUCCACCUACUGGCCCCUCCCCGUUCUCUGCUCCUGACACCGUCGGAAAUCAACCACAGGCCACCAGCAACUGCACCUGCACCCUGUUGCUCGCAUGAUUGUGAUGACACAUAAUCUCGAUCUGCAACUCACUGUCUCCAUUUUCUCAAGCCGGAACAUUGGGGAUAUUAUGGCAGGAGCAGCGUGGAGUCAAAGCCCUACUCCGUAGAGGGCUCGAGGCUGCGCGGAUCGCUUCCUCUCUUUGAACACAGCUGGGGUGUGCGACAUGGCUGUGGUGGAGGAUCUGCCCCCACCCAGGUGAACCCUCACUUUAGACUGUAGAUUGCAACAGCUAUAUGUAAAUUACAAUAACGAUUUCUCUAUUAAUGAACCUGCAGUUUAAUCUGAAAAUUUAGGCAAAAUGUAACCGUUGCAGUCCUUUGUUUUCUUUCUCAAACACACCAUUCCAGUCUUUUGGAAUGACCCUUAGGGCCUGUUUGGCACAGCUACAGCUCCAGAGCUCAGCCAAACAGUUUCAGCUCCACCAAAACUGGGAGUGGAGAUGGGUGGAGCUCUCUCACAAAAUAAACUAGAGUUGUGGAGCGUUGUUUAGGAAGCUCCACAACUCCACGCCAGACCCAACUCUUGAAGCUAAAUUUAGGAGUUGGAGCUGUACGAAACAGGCCCUAAAGCUGACCAAUCACUUGUGAAGGAAUCCUCUACUUUGCAGAAGCAGAAGCGUUACUUGGCAUAUAUACUUUGCAGAAGCAGAAACACAACUUGGCGGUGGCUGGUUUAUUUAGCAAUCUCUACUUGGCUUUGAUGGCCAGUGUGGUAAUUAAUUUCAGAAAUCUCCGAUUCUUGUUGACAAAAUUUCUUUUGCAGGUUGAACAUGGUGAUUUCAGACAUUUAUCAAUGAUGGAUUAUCUGCUUGCCUAUUCUUUCUGUUACAUCAGUUGUGGGAUGUUUUUCUGUUAAAUUAAUCUAGGUUGCUCUCUUGAUCUGGUCUAGACAGAUCCUAAGCAAAGGUUGCAAUAAGGAAAACAAAAGGAAAAGCUCAAAAUAUCCAUGUCAACUUGAAGAUAUUGUGGAUUGCAGAUUGUGAGGGUUACAUUUGAAGUUAUUGUGGAUGACACGAAUCAAUUGUGUAGAUACUUGUGUUAUUUUCUCUUACUUAGUGGAGUUCUCUUGAAUGCAUCUGAAGACAACUCUUUUGCUUUGAGCCUUUCAAGUGUUUGUUAAGUUGUGGAAAAUUGUAUCCAUUUUGUAAUGUUGGCUACUUUGCACCUCCACAACAAGUGUCCAAGAGGGGGUAACCAAAAUAGGCUAGAUCAUGUUAGAACAUAUUGUUCUUAAACUUGUGUAUUUGUAUGUUUCAUGCGACAUUUAUUGGGGAAAACACAAUAAACUAUCAGGGUAUUCACAUGUUUCUUGCUAUUUACCAUAUAUGGAAAACGUGCAAAGUGCACGAUUACUAGUUUUGGAAA
Non-coding RNA from Oryza sativa Japonica Group (Japanese rice), 2043 nucleotides. The record is from RefSeq and is a predicted model, not a curated record. Lineage: Eukaryota; Viridiplantae; Streptophyta; Magnoliopsida; Poales; Poaceae.